RNAcentral lists this ribosomal RNA (253 nucleotides) under uncultured bacterium. RNAcentral describes it as "partial 16S ribosomal RNA". It matches the Rfam family "Bacterial small subunit ribosomal RNA", at positions 524 to 776 of the family's 1533-position model. The record is from RNAcentral.
GACGUAGGGCGCGAGCGUUGUCCGGAUUUAUUGGGCGUAAAGAGCUCGUAGGCGGCUUGUCGCGUCGGCUGUGAAAUCCCGUGGCUCAACUGCGGGUCUGCAGCCGAUACGGGCAGGCUAGAGUUCGGUAGGGGAGACUGGAAUUCCUGGUGUAGCGGUGAAAUGCGCAGAUAUCAGGAGGAACACCGGUGGCGAAGGCGGGUCUCUGGGCCGAUACUGACGCUGAGGAGCGAAAGCGUGGGUAGCAAACAGG